UACGGAGGAUGCAGGCGUUAUCCGGAUUCAUUGGGUUUAAAGGGUGCGUAGGCGGCUUUUUAAGUCAGUGGUGAAAUCCUGUCGCUUAACGAUAGAAUUGCCAUUGAUACUGAAGAGCUUGAGUUUAGUUGAGGUAAGCGGAAUGUGUAGUGUAGCGGUGAAAUGCUUAGAUAUUACACAGAACACCGAUUGCGAAGGCAGCUUACUAAGCUAACACUGACGCUGAUGCACGAAAGCGUGGGGAGCGAACAGG
Molecule: ribosomal RNA, 253 nt
Filed under: uncultured bacterium
Lineage: Bacteria
Description: partial 16S ribosomal RNA
Rfam family: Bacterial small subunit ribosomal RNA
Source: RNAcentral